GAUGUGUAGGAUAGGUGGGAGGCUUUGAAGCGUGGACGCCAGUCUGCGUGGAGCCGACCUUGAAAUACCACCCUUUAAUGUUUGAUGUUCUAACGUGGACCCGUAAUCCGGGUUGCGGACAGUGUCUGGUGGGUAGUUUGACUGGGGCGGUCUCCUCCUAAAGAGUAACGGAGGAGCACGAAGGUUGGCUAAUCCUGGUCGGACAUCAGGAGGUUAGUGCAAUGGCAUAAGCCAGCUUGACUGCGAGCGUGACGGCGCGAGCAGGUGCGAAAGCAGGUCAUAGUGAUCCGGUGGUUCUGAAUGGAAGGGCCAUCGCUCAACGGAUAAAAGGUACUCCGGGGAUAACAGGCUGAUACCGCCCAAGAGUUCAUAUCGACGGCGGUGUUUGGCACCUCGAUGUCGGCUCAUCACAUCCUGGGGCUGAAGUAGGUCCCAAGGGUAUGGCUGUUCGCCAUUUAAAGUGGUACGCGAGCUGGGUUUAGAACGUCGUGAGACAGUUCGGUCCCUAUCUGCCGUGGGCGCUGGAGAACUGAGGGGGGCUGCUCCUAGUACGAGAGGACCGGAGUGGACGCAUCACUGGUGUUCGGGUUGUCAUGCCAAUGGCACUGCCCGGUAGCUAAAUGCGGAAGAGAUAAGUGCUGAAAGCAUCUAAGCACGAAACUUGCCCCGAGAUGAGUUCUCCCUGAGACUUAGAGUCUCCUGAAGGAACGUUGAAGACGACGACGUUGAUAGGCCGGGUGUGUAAGCGCAGCGAUGCGUUGAGCUAACCGGUACUAAUGAACCGUGAGGCUUAACCUUAC
This 800-nucleotide ribosomal RNA is filed under the name Salmonella enterica subsp. enterica serovar Thompson. Its description in RNAcentral is "partial 23S ribosomal RNA". It matches the Rfam family "Bacterial large subunit ribosomal RNA", at positions 2133 to 2925 of the family's 2925-position model. Lineage: Bacteria; Pseudomonadati; Pseudomonadota; Gammaproteobacteria; Enterobacterales; Enterobacteriaceae. The record is from RNAcentral. RNAcentral also lists the same sequence under 1 other name.